ACGCUCGACACCUACGGGGGCAGCAGUGGGGAAUAUUGCACAAUGGGGGAAACCCUGAUGCAGCGACGCCGCGUGAAGGAAGAAGUAUCUCGGUAUGUAAACUUCUAUCAGCAGGGAAGAAAAUGACGGUACCUGACUAAGAAGCCCCGGCUAACUACGUGCUAGCAGCCGCGGUAAUCUGAGGCGGGCGUGGACGAAGGC
This 201-nucleotide ribosomal RNA is filed under the name uncultured bacterium. RNAcentral's name for it is "partial 16S ribosomal RNA". It matches the Rfam family "Bacterial small subunit ribosomal RNA", at positions 328 to 538 of the family's 1533-position model. The record is from RNAcentral.